GUAGCAUUGCAUACACUGUGUAUGAGUAGAGGAGGCACUUUUAAGAAAACUGAUACGCAAGAUAUUGCAAAUUUUUUUGGAGUGGGUGUUUGGAAUAUACAAAGAAUUUGGAGGAAAGCAAUGUUGCAAAUUCAACAAGGUCAAGAGGUAGAUGUUGCCGAUCAGAGAAAAGGAAAUUCUGGAAGAAAGCCUAAGGACAUUAACCUAGAAAAAAUCCUAACAAUCCCAUUAAACAGGAGGUCUACUAUUAGAUCACUAGCCUGGCAACUGGGAUGUAGCCCUACCACACUUCAUAGAAAGUUCAUGCUAAAUUUGAUUAGGAGGCAUAGAGAAAGUCUUGCCAGCGAUACAAGCAGUUUGGCCGGAAAGUGA
RNAcentral lists this ribosomal RNA (372 nucleotides) under Triticum aestivum (bread wheat). RNAcentral describes it as "partial small subunit ribosomal RNA". Lineage: Eukaryota; Viridiplantae; Streptophyta; Magnoliopsida; Poales; Poaceae. The record is from RNAcentral.